This is a long non-coding RNA of Perca fluviatilis (European perch), 410 nucleotides long. RefSeq lists it as uncharacterized. Lineage: Eukaryota; Metazoa; Chordata; Actinopteri; Perciformes; Percidae. The transcript has 3 exons. The record is from RefSeq and is a predicted model, not a curated record.
CCACAGAGUCCCACAGAGUCUUUACAGUGGUGGAACAGUCCACACUGCUCCACCAACAGUGGGGCUGGGUCCUCCUGUCCUGAGGACGCAGGAGAAUAAAGUUAGACAGCAGGUUGUUGGUGAGCUUGAGAGUGUCGAAGGAUACGGUCUGCUUCAUCCACUGGGCUCCAUGGGCAGGGAUAAAGUCCAUGAGCAGGACAUAUUCAGCAGUAGGAUCCAUCCCGGAGAUUUGAACCUGGAAUGUUGGAAACAUCCUCCUGCAGUUUGUGAACAUGUAAAUGACCAUAAUGUAGUCAGAGACAACAGAGAAAGAGGAAAAAUGAAGGAGUGCAUGAUAAGGUAAUGAGGAUAAUAAAUAUGAGUGUUAUUGUUACCUUCCAGCUUUGGUAACAAUCAUCUCUGUGCCCAGC